GACGAACGCUGGCGGCGUGCUUAACACAUGCAAGUCGAACGGUGAAGCUCCAGCUUGCUGGAGUGGAUCAGUGGCGAACGGGUGAGUAACACGUGAGCAACCUGCCCCUGACUCUGGAAUAAGCGCUGGAAACGGCGUCUAAUACUGGAUACGAGAAGGGUCCGCAUGGGCACUUUCUGGAAAGUUUUUCGGUUGGGGAUGGGCUCGCGGCCUAUCAGCUUGUUGGUGAGGUAAUGGCUCACCAAGGCGACGACGGGUAGCCGGCCUGAGAGGGCGACCGGCCACACUGGGACUGAGACACGGCCCAGACUCCUACGGGAGGCAGCAGUGGGGAAUAUUGCACAAUGGGCGAAAGCUUGAUGCAGCGACGCCGCGUGAGGGAUGACGGCCUUCGGGUUGUAAACCUCUUUCAGCAGGGAAGAAGCGAAAGUGACGGUACCUGCAGAAGAAGCACCGGCUAACUACGUG
RNAcentral lists this ribosomal RNA (468 nucleotides) under uncultured bacterium. Its description in RNAcentral is "partial 16S ribosomal RNA". It matches the Rfam family "Bacterial small subunit ribosomal RNA", at positions 28 to 507 of the family's 1533-position model. The record is from RNAcentral.